ACGAACGCUGGCGGCGUGCUUCACACCUGCAAGUCGCACGGAAAGGCCCUGCUUUUGUGGGGUGCUCGAGUGGCGAACGGGUGAGUAACACGUGAGUAACCUGCCCUUGACUUUGGGAUAACUUCAGGAAACUGGGGCUAAUACCGGAUAGGAGCUCCUGCUGCAUGGUGGGGGUUGGAAAGUUUCGGCGGUUGGGGAUGGACUCGCGGCUUAUCAGCUUGUUGGUGGGGUAGUGGCUUACCAAGGCUUUGACGGGUAGCCGGCCUGAGAGGGUGACCGGCCACAUUGGGACUGAGAUACGGACCAGACUCCUACGGGAGGCAGCAGUGGGGAAUAUUGCACAAUGGGCGGAAGCCUGAUGCAGCAACGCCGCGUGCGGGAUGACGGCCUUCGGGUUGUAAACCGCUUUCGCCUGUGACGAAGCGUGAGUGACGGUAAUGGGUAAAGAAGCACCGGCUAACUACGUG
RNAcentral lists this ribosomal RNA (467 nucleotides) under uncultured bacterium. RNAcentral's name for it is "partial 16S ribosomal RNA". It matches the Rfam family "Bacterial small subunit ribosomal RNA", at positions 29 to 507 of the family's 1533-position model. The record is from RNAcentral.